This 367-nucleotide long non-coding RNA is filed under the name Rattus norvegicus (Norway rat). Its description in RNAcentral is "long non-coding RNA NONRATT015473". The record is from RNAcentral. Lineage: Eukaryota; Metazoa; Chordata; Mammalia; Rodentia; Muridae.
GUACAAGGCCAUUAGCGACGAGCUGGACCACGCCCUCAAUGACAUGACCUCUAUAUAAACUGUCACCGUUUCUGCUCUGUUCUGGAUCUACCCCCCUUUCCUUGGGGAACCCAACACCCCACUCGCUCUGGAUUCCAUUUGGGUCAGCCUGGCUGGUUCCCACAGCCUUAGGACUGGAGGGCCUGGGGCGGGGCACAAAGCAAUUUACAUAUUUGCUUUCACCCCCAUAUUAAAAUGUUAAGCUGCCAAAAGCUUCGUGCCCUCCUGCAUUUGUGUAUUGACAAAGCUGUUGCUGCACAGACGAAGGAGCCCUGCCGGUGUGAAGUGGGGACAGCUGGAUUAGGCUUCCCCUCUCUGACUUCUGUAC